RNAcentral lists this long non-coding RNA (227 nucleotides) under Elaeis guineensis (African oil palm). RNAcentral describes it as "long non-coding RNA (EGUI_LNC006032)". Lineage: Eukaryota; Viridiplantae; Streptophyta; Magnoliopsida; Arecales; Arecaceae. The record is from RNAcentral.
GUUCGAAAGUCAUUGGUUAAAAACUCACUAUAUGGGUCAGACGAAAGCUUAAGGGGUUAAGACAUUCAAUAGCAGUACAGUGUUAAAAAAAAAAAAGAGCAAAAUCUAAACAUUGAUCUCCCACCGAGUAAUUGGGCCCUUUUGUCUAAGCGUUGUGGUUUGCAUCAAAAAAUGGGCAAUGUGAAAAUAUAUAUUAUAAUAAAUGAAGGAUGGAAGUAAUAAUGUAC